This is a long non-coding RNA of Bactrocera neohumeralis, 1173 nucleotides long. RefSeq lists it as uncharacterized. The record is from RefSeq and is a predicted model, not a curated record. The transcript has 2 exons. Lineage: Eukaryota; Metazoa; Arthropoda; Insecta; Diptera; Tephritidae.
UAUGGCCUUCUGCUGUUAAACAAAGGCAAGUAAUGGAACAUUUCGAAAGGAGCAGAUGCAGUCUUUUUCCAUUUGAUGUGGGAUGUGUAGAUGGGACGCAUUUCAACAUCUCGCUUCCAAAAAAUGAUGCGAUUAGUUACUACAGUGAAACCUCGAUAAGUCGUAACCUCGAUAAGCGAAAAACCUUGAUAUUUCAUAGUAUUUCUUCGGUCCCUAGAAAAAUUCGCGAAAAAUGCAUGUAUUUCGGUCCCUUUGAUAACUCGUAUUUUUCUUGAGACAAAAAUUGAAAAAUGUGUAUCAAAAGCCUCUACAACUCGUAUUUUUUCCUCAAAAGCCUCUACAAUUCGUAUUUUUUUUCACAAAAAACCGUACGUGACGAAAACAUAGUACAUAUGUACAAUCAUUUCUUGUUUUUUAUGUAAAAUUGAAAAAAUAAAUAAAAAAAAACUCUAUAAUUCGUAUAUUCUAUAUGUUGUAUAACUUGAUAACUUGAAAAACUCCACAACUCGUAUUUAAAUUGUGGUCCCUUGCAAAUACGAAUUAUCGAAGUUUCACUGUACAACCGAAAAGGAAAUCAUACAAUUAUUUUGCAGGCCAUACGUGACAGUAAAUUUCGCUUUCUGGAUGUAUUUAUUGGAUGUCCAGGCAGUUGCCAUGAUGCUCAUGUAUGGAAAACUAGCCCUAUUUAUAAAGGAAUUAUUUCCGGUGAAGUGGAACUUGCUGAAAAUGCAGUCAUUUUAGGAGAUUCUGCCUAUCCUUUAUCAAAAUUCCUGCUUACACCUUACAGAGAUAAUGGGCAUUUAAGAUCGGAAGAAAUUAACUUUAAUUACUGCUUAAGCUCAACUCGUGUUUUUAUCGAGCAGUCGUAUGGGAUUUUGAAACAAAAGUUUAAAAUACUAAAUUAUAUAAACUUGAGGUCAGUCAAAAAACCAUCAAUGGUAAUAUUUGCCUGUACAAUAUUGCACAACUUUAUUAUAAAUAGAGAAAACCCUUCGGAAUAUCUUGUUGGAUUACCAGAAAAUAAUAACGUCAUAAAUGAAGAAACUGAAAAUCACCUUAGUACUUCACUGGCACCUCAAGAAAAUGACGAUUUAUAUGGAAUUGCUAUAAGGCGCAAUUUGACAACGUUGUUUUGUUCUUAAAUAAAUAUAAGUAAAAUACUUAUGAGUGGAA